GAUGAACGCUAGCUACAGGCUUAACACAUGCAAGUCGAGGGGCAGCGCAGUGUAGCAAUACAUGGGCGGCGACCGGCGCACGGGUGCGUAACGCGUAUCCAACCUUCCCGUUACUCAGGGAUAGCCUUCCGAAAGGGAGAUUAAUACCUGAUGGUAUCAGAAUUUCGCAUGUUAUUCUGAUUAAAGAUUUAUCGGUAACGGAUGGGGAUGCGUGACAUUAGGUAGAUGGCGGGGUAACGGCCCACCAUGCCUACGAUGUCUAGGGGUUCUGAGAGGAAGGUCCCCCACACUGGAACUGAGACACGGUCCAG
RNAcentral lists this ribosomal RNA (311 nucleotides) under uncultured bacterium. RNAcentral's name for it is "bacterial SSU rRNA". It matches the Rfam family "Bacterial small subunit ribosomal RNA", at positions 28 to 334 of the family's 1533-position model. The record is from RNAcentral.